Long non-coding RNA from Quercus lobata, 305 nucleotides. RefSeq lists it as uncharacterized. Lineage: Eukaryota; Viridiplantae; Streptophyta; Magnoliopsida; Fagales; Fagaceae. The transcript has 2 exons. The record is from RefSeq and is a predicted model, not a curated record.
GCAGAAGUCGCCAAAGUACAAGCAGAGUUGGAAAGUCCCUUUAAGGAAUUUUGAUGUGAAGUAAGGAAUAAGUUUUUCAUGGCCAUACUUCUUACUUGGAUGUUUUCCAAUGACUCUUUGUAAUGUACACAUUUUGAUUACUUAAAAUUUUUCAUAUAGAUGUUGAAUUGGAUCUGUAGUUAACUUUUUUGUUUAGGCUUGGUGCAUCACAAAGAGGUCCCCUCUUCUCAACAAUGUCCAACUCUCUAUUCACAAUCAAUGUAACCAUUUUCCUUUUAUGUAAUAAAAGAAGUGUUUGUCUUCAA